Molecule: non-coding RNA, 1317 nt
Organism: Malus domestica (apple)
Lineage: Eukaryota; Viridiplantae; Streptophyta; Magnoliopsida; Rosales; Rosaceae
Source: RefSeq, a predicted model, not a curated record
UAUAUUUAAAUAUAGUCUCCGCUGUGCUAGCUCAAUCGAACACCAACAAAGAGUGUGAAUUCAGGCAGAGAAAAGGAAAGAAAUCAUGGCAAGCUCUGAGUGCUGCUCAAACCCUCCGACCCUGAACCCCUCCAGCGGCACCGGCCAUGUCGAAAGCCUCGGCGGUCUCGACUCCUAUGUCACUGGCUCCCCUGAUUCCAACCUUGCUGUUCUUCUCAUCUCUGACAUUUACGGAUUUGAAGCUCCAAACUUGAGGAAGCUUGCUGACAAAGUUGCAGCUGCUGGGUUCUUCGUUGUGGUUCCCGACUUCCUUAACAAAGACCCUUAUGCACCUGAAGAUGCCAACAGACCUAUUUCCGUUUGGAUAAAAGAUCAUGGACCGGACAAGGGAUUUGAGGAUGCAAAGCCAGUUCUUGAAGCUUUAAAAAGUAAAGGUGUUUCUGCAAUCGGUGCUGCAGGCUUCUGUUGGGGAGCCAAGGUUGUGGUUGAACUUUCAAAGCACGCUUUAAUUCAAGCUGCUGUUCUGUGUCAUCCAUCAUUAGUCACUGUGGAUGAUAUCAAGGGUAAGAUACCUGUAGUAAUAUUCAGGAAAUAUCUAAUCCAUUAUUGGAACAAAAAAUUAGUCUCACACUCACUUUAUGAUCUAUUCCUGGACUUACUUUCAGAGGUUAAGGUUCCUAUUUCUGUACUUGGAGCUGAGAUUGAUCAGAUGUCUCCGCCUGAAGUCGUGAAACAGUUUGAAGAGGUUUUAACUGCAAAACCUGAGGUUAAGAGCCAUGUGAAAAUAUUCCCGAAAGUGUCACAUGGGUGGACGGUGAGGUACAGUGUUGAAGACGAAGCAGCUUGUAAGUCUGCCGAGGAGGCUCAUCAAGAUUUGUUGAAGUGGUUCUUGAACCAUGUCAAGUGAGUGGCCUCAUCAAGAUUUGUUGAAGUGGUUUUCCUUAUCAGCUGCUAUCUAUUAGUAAUGGAUAAAUAAUGCCUCUGGAGUUUUAUGUUCGUAUUUGUUUGUAAUGGAUAAAUAAUGCCUCUGGAGUUUUAUGUUCGUAUUUGUUUGUAAUGGAUAAAUAUUGCUUUUGGAGUACUUAGAUCUAACGGAGGACAUGAUACAAAACCGAGCGCAAUGGCGGUCUAGGAUUCAUAUAGCCGACCCCACUUAGUGGAAAAAGGCUUUGUUGUUGUUGUUGUUAUUUGUUUGUCAAGUUUUGUAAUAGAAUUUUACAGCUUAAUUUUCAUGUAUUCCAUAAUUCUGAAUACAAGUACAUACAAUUCUUAUUACAUAAGGAAACAAUAAAGGACACUAAUAUUACCUUCCUAAAA